RNAcentral lists this ribosomal RNA (506 nucleotides) under uncultured bacterium. RNAcentral's name for it is "partial 16S ribosomal RNA". It matches the Rfam family "Bacterial small subunit ribosomal RNA", at positions 29 to 523 of the family's 1533-position model. The record is from RNAcentral.
AGUGAACGCUGGCGGUAGGCCUAACACAUGCAAGUCGAACGGCAGCACAGAGGAGCUUGCUCCUUGGGUGGCGAGUGGCGGACGGGUGAGGAAUACAUCGGAAUCUACUCUGUCGUGGGUGAUAACGUAGGGAAACUUACGCUAAUACCGCAUACGACCUACGGGUGAAAGCAGGGGAUCUUCGGACCUUGCGCGAUUGAAUGAGCCGAUGUCGGAUUAGCUAGUUGGCGGGGUAAAGGACCACCAAGGCGGCGAUCCGUAGCUGGUCUGAGAGGAUGAGCAGCCACACUGAAACUGAGACACGGUCCAGACUCCUAAGGGAGGCAGCAGUGGAGAAUAUUGGACAAUGGGCGCAAGCCUGAUCCAGACAUACCGCGUGGGUGAAGAAGGCCUUCGGGUUGUAAAGCCCGUUUGUUGGGAAAGAAAUCCAUCUGGUUAAUACCCGGGUGGGAUGACGGUACCCAAAGAAUAAGCACCGGCUAACUUCGUGCCAGCCGCCGCAGUAA